Molecule: non-coding RNA, 78 nt
Organism: Rivularia sp. PCC 7116
Lineage: Bacteria; Bacillati; Cyanobacteriota; Cyanophyceae; Nostocales; Rivulariaceae
Source: Rfam
GGAAGCUGGAUGCUCGGAAACGGGCACGUCCAGAUUUAAAAGAGAGGGGCGAGAGGUAAUACUCUCCCUCGACUCUAC